RNAcentral lists this long non-coding RNA (268 nucleotides) under Podarcis lilfordi (Lilford's wall lizard). The record is from RNAcentral. Lineage: Eukaryota; Metazoa; Chordata; Lepidosauria; Squamata; Lacertidae.
UCUUUUUUUUUUUUUUUUUAAAUCAUAUUUAUUGAAGUUUCCAAAAAUAUAAAAGUACAAAGAAAAAAGAUAAAAGAAAGAAGAUAUUUAAAAACCUUACUUUCAUUCCCUACUUUCUGGAACUCCCCCCCUCCCCCCCCCCGGUUGUAUUCCCCUUUCCUUAAUUUGGUUCUACAAGCUCUCACUCCCAAAUUUAAAGCUUAAUUUGUUUAACCCACUAUCCAAUUUGAAUUGUACAAAUCUUACCACCGUCCCACAUCAUUAACAG